ACAGAUUCAACCACCUGCGGUAUACUAACACGGCUGGUGGAUUCAAGGGAAGCGCCGUGAGAAUCGGCCGCGGUCGCCGCCACUGUAACCUCUCCCUCUUUUUUGAAAAAGGGAACCCUUUUGGCAAGUAUGAACGCCACUGCCCGCACCUACAUGUAGGUGCGGGAUGGGAAGGCAGCUAAAAGGGUGGGGAAGCCAGGAGACCUAUCCUCAGCCACAAUCAAGUC
Molecule: non-coding RNA, 227 nt
Filed under: Candidatus Zhuqueibacterota
Lineage: Bacteria; Pseudomonadati
Source: RNAcentral